RNA transcript from Pipra filicauda (Wire-tailed manakin), 3275 nucleotides. It is a transcript of the gene named coiled-coil domain containing 91, with no coding region annotated. The transcript has 14 exons. Lineage: Eukaryota; Metazoa; Chordata; Aves; Passeriformes; Pipridae. The record is from RefSeq and is a predicted model, not a curated record.
GCCCGAAACACAAGGUUCUUUCCUUCCUUAAGCAACUCCUAUUGUAGAAGUUAUCUGACGACAUCGGUUACGUUUACAGAAGUACCAGUUGAAAGAUGGAUGAUGAUGACUUUGGAGGAUUUGAGGCAGCAGAGAGUUAUGAGUUUGGAAAUGGUGAAAAGCAGACCACAUCCCCUGCUAUUGCUUGGGCAGCAUUUCCUACAGUACCUGAAGUCCACAGAUCUCCUGAUGUUCUUCUGGAGCACUCUGUGCCUUCUUCCUGCCUGGCUCCUUCUGACUCAUUCAUUUUAUCAAGUGAUAAUGUGGCAACAGCUGUUCAAACAGCCAACAGUGUGAUAAAUCCAGCUGUUCUUGAAGAACAGAUUCAAGCAGAUAUUCCAGUCGCCUCUUCAAAUGUAAUUGAGGGCAAGACUUUAGUUACAUCAACCACUGCUUUGAUUGAUGCUGAGACACAGAGAACAAAUGAAGCGAAGAGCUGCCUUCAACAAGCUGUUGCAAACCUAGAAAUCAAGCUUUGCACUGCUGAAGAAGAAAAAUUGAAAAUUAAAAAGGAAUUAGAAUAUUUGCUGGAAAAACAUAGUGUUUUAGAAAUGGAUUUCCUGAAGGAAAAAAAAGAAAAAGUACCACAUCAAGAUCAUUACAAGACACUCCAGGAAAAGCAUAAGCAGGAAUUAGAAGACAUGAGAAAAGCUGGACAUGAAGCCUUGAGUAUUAUUGUUGAAGAAUUCAAGGCACUGCUACAAUCUACAGUUCAGCAGCAAGAAGCAGCUAUUGAAAAGCAGUAUAUACUAGCAAUUGAAAAACACUCUCACAAAUGUGAAAAGCUUCUUAAUGCUCAGCAUCAACGGCUUCUUGACAUUCUGGAAGCAGAGAAGGAAGUCUUAUCAGAAAAGAUAGAAGAAGCUUUGAUGCAGCAGUCACAAAAGCACAAGGAAGUGCUGGACAAAUGUUUGGAUGAAGAAAGGCAAAGAAGUAAGGAGGCUGUGGCAGCUGCUGCCGAGGCUGAGAAAGAAGCAGUGCAGGAAGCUGUUCUGAAAGCAGUAGAGGAGGAGAGGAGGAAUAUGGAGAAGAUUCAUGCAGAAGAAAGAAAAAUGUGGGAAGCAGAACGUGAUACUCAUAAAGAGAAGAUUGCCCAGGCUGUUUCGGAAGCCAUGGAGGAACAAAGAAGGCAGAAUCAGGAAAUUGUCAAGGAAGCAUUAAUGGAGGAGCAGAAACGAAGUGAAAAGGCAAUUGAAGAAGCAGUGAAAAGGACAAGAAAGGAACUGAUGGAAUAUAUUAAAGAACAGAAAAGGCUUGAUCAAGUUGUCCGUCAGAGAAAUCUGCAUAGUUUGGAACUUUUCCUUUCAUGUGCACAGAAACAGUUAAACGUUUUAUUAAAGGAAGAACCAACCACAGAGGAAAACAGAGACUGACAUUCCCGGUACCACUGAUACAGUGUGAUCUGUGAAGCUGCAAAUCUCAAUUCAGCAAGUGAUGAAUAUAUUCUAAUCUUUUGGGAUUGUAUUAUUGAUUCAAGGUUGAUCUGAAACUAUGCUUGAUAGAAAUGUGUGGAUGAUGUUCUGUUAUUUAUUUAUUUGUUUUACUGCUAUUAUCAGAUUGCAAAUAUGGAAGGGGAAAAAAUCCAUGAGAAAAAAAAAUUGGGGUUUUUUAUGAUUUUGUUUUCAUUACAUUUUCUAGUAACGCAUGGUUGAAGUGUUAGGUAACUUGUAGCACUGAUGAAAACAUUUCCCUGUUAUGUCUGUUUUAAAUUUGGCAUCAUGCGUUGAUGUGAUUCAUCGUUAUUUUUGAUAUUUUAAAAAUUUGUGACAAACUUACUUGAAUAUUGAUAUAAAUCCAUCUCUAUUUCCACAGUAUAUACCCAAGUCCAUUGCCUCAGGUGAGCCUGAGGAGCUUAUUAUUUCUUACUAUUUUUGAUGUAUAACAGAGGAAUCAAUGCUGAAACAUGAGUGUUGUCAGGCAUUUCUUUAAUCAUUUAUAAAAAACUUCAGCUCUGGUAAUAGAAAAAUUUAAAAACUAAACAGUGCAUCUUUUUAGAGUAGUGCAAAACACUGCCAUAGCCAAUGUAUAGUAUGUAUUUUAUUUCUGUUUUACAGAGCUACUUCAAUUCCAAAAGUAAUUUUCUCAUGAAAUUACGAUUAAUGUGACUGACCUCAGUUUCAGGAAGAAGAUGUAUGUAAUUAUGUGGAGACUGAUACUGCACUGCCUCAGUGGAAUUUCUGACAGAAUAAGGAGAGCAGCUUGCUGACCUCAGAUGCCCUUUCUGAGUGCAUGAAGGAAGUAGGAAAGCUCCCCACAGACAUUACUGGACUUCGGAUCAAGUCAUAGGUCUUUCUAGUCUUGCUAACAGCAGAUGGAGUGGAAUUUCUGUGCCUGCACUCUAUUGAUUGUAGACUUUGGGCCUUAGUUUUAAAAGAGUGCUGAAUGAAAUAAGGGAAAAUAAGUGUUCACGCUUAGACAAAAAAAAAAGGUGUUAACAAGUCAUCUACUUAUUUAUUGUUCCUAAGCCAGUGAAAUUCUUGUCUUCGUCAACUGCACCAAAGAUGACACAGAUGUACACAUGGAUCUUUUUGUAAUGUAGAGGCAGUAUCAAAUGAAGUAGGUUGUCUAGUGCUGUCUCACAAUAGAUGUGUACUUGUGGAAAUGUGGUAUGAGCACAUUCCUAGAUGAACUUGGUUUUACUUCUAGGCCUGGACAUGAGGCACUAUUCCUUUUUACUAAAGAUGUCGGAGUAUUCCCCUUGAAACCAGAGCCUUAGGAGUCUAUCAGCAUUCUCCUAAUAAAGAGGUUUGUAUUCUGACUUGCAACAGUAUGUAAAAGCACUUUUUGGAGAAGCUUACUAAGAUUUUGCUGUCAACUAUGGUAUAUCUUUCCCAUUGGAACAUCGGGUUGUUUAAUCUCAGCUCUUGAAUAUUGUGGUUGUCACAGAGAACUGUAGGUAUUUUUUUCUUACCUUUGACAGUUUUAGUCCUUUAGUCUCCCUCUGUUCCCUGCAAGCAAAAUUGCACACUAGACCACAGAAAUAAAAGAUCAUAUUUGUAGCUCGACUUACAUUUGAAACUCCAAGUCUCAGAGGAGAAAUUUAGUUAUAGAGCACACACAGACCUAUCCAGUCUGCGAGCUUUGGAGCAUGCAGUAACUUCCACCUUUCCCACAUUGCAUCCAAAGCUUUAAAGCUUGGUUUUAUUUUUCAGUAUUUCUGUAUAACCAUAGGAUAAUACAGUUUGUGGAAAUUUGGGAGGAGGGAAUCGUAGAAUCAAGGAGUGGUUUGGAUUGGA